AAAUAUCCCAAGGGGAGCUCCAUAAAUCCGGGGCUGAGAGGAAGGUGGAAACCUUCGACCCUUAGAACCUGAACCGGGUAAUACCGGCGGAGGGAUGGGAUGCAAAAUCCCU
Molecule: non-coding RNA, 112 nt
Filed under: Thermosipho africanus
Lineage: Bacteria; Thermotogati; Thermotogota; Thermotogae; Thermotogales; Fervidobacteriaceae
Description: TPP sequence
Rfam family: TPP riboswitch aptamer (THI element)
About the family: Vitamin B(1) in its active form thiamin pyrophosphate (TPP) is an essential coenzyme that is synthesised by coupling of pyrimidine and thiazole moieties in bacteria. The previously detected thiamin-regulatory element, thi box was extended, resulting in a new, highly conserved RNA secondary structure, the THI element, which is widely distributed in eubacteria and also occurs in some archaea.
Source: RNAcentral